UCUGUGUCUUACAAAAAUGAUACCGUUUCAGAACUGACAUAAGGGAAAGUUUCACUGUCCUCCAUACACCAGCCAUGUCACCUUAUUUUGGUAGAUUUUGUUUGUUUUUUUUAGGUUUACCUUUAAUUUUAAUUUUUUUUUUUUUUUUUUUUUUUAGGUUUACCUUAUUUUGGUAGAUUUUAGGUUACUGACUCUCCAGACAGGUAAUCUGAUAAAAGAGUGAAAUUACAAACAGUGCUAUUAACUCAAAUGAAACAAGAUGUUGGCUUAGAUUACAACAAGAAAUCAGUGAAAUGCAUGAAAGCAUGCUUUACAUAGUGAAAGCUAUGAGUUUUCUGUUACCAUGAUCGCAUUCACCCUCAUCUCACCCACAGGUGAUGCGGAGUUAAUAGCGCACCGAUGAACGCGUGGGAGAGACUCCUAUCUCAUUACAUUCGACAACUUCAUCCGGUACGAGAGGCAUUUCUUGUUUGAGACUGCUGUUAUUUCAACUUCUUGAGAAGCAGGCAUGGAUACAGCGCGGGCAGCUAGGACGCAUAUUAUCUGGACAUCGAUAGCUUUGGUCUUUAUUUUAAUCGCAUCGUGCUUGGCAUAUGUUUUCAUGUCGAAGGUGCCUGGAUGCCAAAGAAUAAACAUCGUGAAUGGUAAGUUAUACCUAAAUAUUAACUCAUAAUUACAGUACUUAUUGUGU
This 691-nucleotide long non-coding RNA is filed under the name Sinocyclocheilus anshuiensis. RNAcentral's name for it is "lncRNA (ENSSANG00000042711.1)". The record is from RNAcentral. Lineage: Eukaryota; Metazoa; Chordata; Actinopteri; Cypriniformes; Cyprinidae.